Molecule: ribosomal RNA, 555 nt
Filed under: uncultured bacterium
Lineage: Bacteria
Description: partial 16S ribosomal RNA
Rfam family: Bacterial small subunit ribosomal RNA
Source: RNAcentral
UAGGGAAUCUUCGGCAAUGGGGGCAACCCUGACCGAGCAACGCCGCGUGAGUGAAGAAGGUUUUCGGAUCGUAAAGCUCUGUUGUAAGUCAAGAACGGGUGUGAGAGUGGAAAGUUCACACUGUGACGGUAGCUUACCAGAAAGGGACGGCUAACUACGUGCCAGCAGCCGCGGUAAUACGUAGGUCCCGAGCGUUGUCCGGAUUUAUUGGGCGUAAAGCGAGCGCAGGCGGUUUGAUAAGUCUGAAGUUAAAGGCUGUGGCUCAACCAUAGUUCGCUUUGGAAACUGUCAAACUUGAGUGCAGAAGGGGAGAGUGGAAUUCCAUGUGUAGCGGUGAAAUGCGUAGAUAUAUGGAGGAACACCGGUGGCGAAAGCGGCUCUCUGGUCUGUAACUGACGCUGAGGCUCGAAAGCGUGGGGAGCGAACAGGAUUAGAUACCCUGGUAGUCCACGCCGUAAACGAUGAGUGCUAGGUGUUGGAUCCUUUCCGGGAUUCAGUGCCGCAGCUAACGCAUUAAGCACUCCGCCUGGGGGAGUACGACCGCAAGGUUGAAAC